UGGAAACUNUCUGACUUGAGUGCAGAAGGGGAGAGUGGAAUUCCAUGUGUAGCGGUGAAAUGCGUAGAUAUAUGGAGGAACACCAGUGGCGAAAGCGGCUCUCUGGUCUGUCACUGACGCUGAGGCUCGAAAGCGUGGGUAGCGAACAGGAUUAGAUACCNUGGUAGUCCACGCCGUAAACGAUGAGUGCUAGGUGUUAGGCCCUUUCCGGGGCUUAGUGCCGGAGCUAACGCAAUAAGCACUCCGCCUGGGGAGUACGACCGCAAGGUUGAAACUCAAAGGAAUUGACGGGGGCCCGCACAAGCGGUGGAGCAUGUGGUUUAAUACGAAGCAACGCGAAGAACCUUACCAGGUCUUGACAUCCCGAUGCUAUUCUUAGAGAUAGGAAGUUACUUCGGUACAUCGGAGACAGGUGGUGCAUGGUUGUCGUCAGCUCGUGUCGUGAGAUGUUGGGUUAAGUCCCGCAACGAGCGCAACCCUUAUUGUUAGUUGCCAUCAUUAAGUUGGGCACUCUAGCGAGACUGCCGGUAAUAAACCGGAGGAAGGUGGGGAUGACGUCAAAUCAUCAUGCCCCUUAUGACCUGGGCUACACACGUGCUACAAUGGUCGGUACAACGAGUUGCGAGCCGGUGACGGCAAGCUAAUCUCUGAAAGCCGAUCUCAGUUCGGAUUGGAGGCUGCAACUCGCCUCCAUGAAGUCGGAAUCGCUAGUAAUCGCGGAUCAGCACGCCGCGGUGAAUACGUUCCCGGGCCUUGUACACACCGCCCGUCACACCACGAGAGUUUGUAACACCCGAA
Molecule: ribosomal RNA, 798 nt
Filed under: uncultured bacterium
Lineage: Bacteria
Description: bacterial SSU rRNA
Rfam family: Bacterial small subunit ribosomal RNA
Source: RNAcentral